GGAUGUGAUCAUACCAGCACUAAAGCACCGGAUCCCAUCAGAACUCCGAAGUUAAGGGUGCUUGGGCGAGAGUAGUACUAGGAUGGGUGACCUCCUGGGAAGUCCUCGUGUUACAUUCC
RNAcentral lists this ribosomal RNA (119 nucleotides) under Triticum aestivum (bread wheat). Lineage: Eukaryota; Viridiplantae; Streptophyta; Magnoliopsida; Poales; Poaceae. The record is from RNAcentral.